Molecule: long non-coding RNA, 1475 nt
Filed under: Scleropages formosus (Asian bonytongue)
Lineage: Eukaryota; Metazoa; Chordata; Actinopteri; Osteoglossiformes; Osteoglossidae
Description: lncRNA (ENSSFOG00015027503.1)
Source: RNAcentral
AGUGUGAAGGCUUUUUUUUUUUUGUCGAAGGUUCCCCAUGAUUGGCUCUCCAAAUAGAUCGUAGCCAAUAGCGUUCCUUUUCAGGAAGACUUCAAAGGAUAGCCAAUAAGAUGCAUUAGAGGCGUUGCUCGGGAUUAUGUGGCUCGUGGGCUCUUUGCCACGUUAGUUCACGCGUUUGACUCGCGUGCCUGUUCAAAUGUUGCCGGCGUUUCUUGCAGUGAAUGGCGUUAACUGUAAAGAAAAGAAAAAAAAAAAAUAUUUACAUUACAUUUAUUCAUUUAGUAGACGCUUUUCUUCAGAGCGGCGUACAAGCGCAAGGGCAUUUCACACAAGACGAAAGAUUAUAGAUCCAAACAAACAGCUGCCGAAGUCAAGGAUGGAAUUCACAAGUCAAGGAUGGAAUUUUCCCCAGCAUCUGAAGAAAACGCUCGACGGUUUUAAACCUGUUUUUAAAUGCAGAAUCACAAAAAGUUGACUUUGACUGAUGAGACUGUAAAAGAUGUUUGGAGAGAAGCUUCCCUGACGUGAACAGGCCCCCCUGACGACAUCCACCCACCGCACAUGUUCUACACUUCUGUCCUCCAGCAACAGGACAUGUGCUCGUGUGGUGCAUUACACCUCAGGACAACAGAAACCCAUCAUUUUGUUACCUGUACCAUUUACAAACUUGUAAGGAUUUGUGUUACUAGAAAAGAACAGUGGAUUAUGUGGUGUUGGUGUUACAUAAAAAGGCAUCAGAUACACUGCCUGGCCAAAAAAAAAGUCACCACCUGGAUUUAACUAAGCAAAUAGGUAAGAGCCUCCCAUUGGAUAAUUAUUGCAGUGAUUAAUAUGUUUCAGCUGGCAACAAGUUAUUUAACCUUAACUGAUGGAAUGAGUAGCUUCUCAUUUCUGAAACAACCAUGUUGGAAGAUGUAUCCUGUGCUUGUGGGAAAGAUAUUACUCUAUUUCAGAAGGGUCAAAUUCCUGGCCUGCAUCAAGCAAACAAAAAACUAAGGAGGUUGCUGAAACUACUAAAAUUGGGUUAAGAACUGUUCAAUGCAUUAUUAAAAGCUGGAAGGGUAGUGGUGAACCAUCAUUUUCAAGGAAGAAAUGCGGUGAGAAAAAAAAAAAUCUUGAAUGCUUGUGAUUGGAGAUCACUUAAACAUUUGGUGAAAUCAGAUUUUUUUUUUUUUUUUUUUUUUUUCAACAAACUAUAGCACUUAUGGCUAUGUUUCUUAGUGAAAGUAAGAGCGUUUCCACAUGCACAAUGGGAUGAGAACUCAAGGAAUUGGGACUAAACAGCUGUGUAGCCUUAAGAAAAACCACUUAUCAGGGGGAGAAAGGUUUGUUUGCUAGGGAGUAUAAAGAUUGGACUCUGGAGCAAUUGAAAAACAUCAUGUGAUCUGAGUCCAGAUUUACCCUGUUCCAGAGUGAUGAGUGCAUCAGGGUAAGAAGAGAGGUGGAUGAAGUGAUGCACCCAUCAUGCCUACCGU